GGUUAAGCGACUAAGCGUACACGGUGGAUGCCCUGGCAGUCAGAGGCGAUGAAGGACGUGCUAAUCUGCGAUAAGCGCCGGUAAGGUGAUAUGAACCGUUAUAACCGGCGAUUUCCGAAUGGGGAAACCCAGUGUGAUUCGUCACACUAUCAUUAACUGAAUCCAUAGGUUAAUGAGGCGAACCGGGGGAACUGAAACAUCUAAGUACCCCGAGGAAAAGAAAUCAACCGAGAUUCCCCCAGUAGCGGCGAGCGAACGGGGAGGAGCCCAGAGCCUGAAUCAGCAUGUGUGUUAGUGGAAGCGUCUGGAAAGGCGCGCGAUACAGGGUGACAGCCCCGUACACAAAAGCGCACAUGCUGUGAGCUCGAUGAGUAGGGCGGGACACGUGGUAUCCUGUCUGAAUAUGGGGGGACCAUCCUCCAAGGCUAAAUACUCCUGACUGACCGAUAGUGAACCAGUACCGUGAGGGAAAGGCGAAAAGAACCCCGGCGAGGGGAGUGAAAAAGAACCUGAAACCGUGUACGUACAAGCAGUGGGAGCACCCUUUGGGGUGUGACUGCGUACCUUUUGUAUAAUGGGUCAGCGACUUAUAUUCUGUAGCAAGGUUAACCGCAUAGGGGAGCCGUAGGGAAACCGAGUCUUAACCGGGCGUUAAGUUGCAGGGUAUAGACCCGAAACCCGGUGAUCUAGCCAUGGGCAGGUUGAAGGUUGGGUAACACUAACUGGAGGACCGAACCGACUAAUGUUGAAAAAUUAGCGGAUGACCUGUGGCUGGGGGUGAAAGGCCAAUCAAACCGGGAGAUAGCUGGUUCUCCCCGAAAGCUAUUUAGGUAGCGCCUCGUGAACUCAUCUCCGGGGGUAGAGCACUGUUUCGGCUAGGGGGCCAUCCCGGCUUACCAACCCGAUGCAAACUGCGAAUACCGGAGAAUGUUAUCACGGGAGACACACGGCGGGUGCUAACGUCCGUCGUGAAGAGGGAAACAACCCAGACCGCCAGCUAAGGUCCCAAAGUCAUGGUUAAGUGGGAAACGAUGUGGGAAGGCCCAGACAGCCAGGAUGUUGGCUUAGAAGCAGCCAUCAUUUAAAGAAAGCGUAAUAGCUCACUGGUCGAGUCGGCCUGCGCGGAAGAUGUAACGGGGCUAAACCAUGCACCGAAGCUGCGGCAGCGAACGUAUCACUUAAAGCGAUUCAGCGGGUUACGAUUGACGGAGCGAAGCGACGUCAAAGCGUAUACAAAGUCGAGUCGGUUUAAGGAUACGUUCGUUGGGUAGGGGAGCGUUCUGUAAGCCUGCGAAGGUGGCCUGUGAGGGUUGCUGGAGGUAUCAGAAGUGCGAAUGCUGACAUAAGUAACGAUAAAGCGGGUGAAAAGCCCGCUCGCCGGAAGACCAAGGGUUCCUGUCCAACGUUAAUCGGGGCAGGGUGAGUCGACCCCUAAGGCGAGGCCGAAAGGCGUAGUCGAUGGGAAACGGGUUAAUAUUCCCGUACUUGGUGUUACUGCGAAGGGGGGACGGAGAAGGCUAUGUUGGCCGGGCGACGGUUGUCCCGGUUUAAGCGUGUAGGUGUGUGUUCCAGGUAAAUCCGGUUCACUUUAACACUGAGGCGUGAUGACGAGGCACUACGGUGCUGAAGCAACAAAUGCCCUGCUUCCAGGAAAAGCCUCUAAGCAUCAGGUAACAUCAAAUCGUACCCCAAACCGACACAGGUGGUCAGGUAGAGAAUACCAAGGCGCUUGAGAGAACUCGGGUGAAGGAACUAGGCAAAAUGGUGCCGUAACUUCGGGAGAAGGCACGCUGACACGUAGGUGAAGUGAUUUACUCAUGGAGCUGAAGUCAGUCGAAGAUACCAGCUGGCUGCAACUGUUUAUUAAAAACACAGCACUGUGCAAACACGAAAGUGGACGUAUACGGUGUGACGCCUGCCCGGUGCCGGAAGGUUAAUUGAUGGGGUCAGCGCAAGCGAAGCUCCUGAUCGAAGCCCCGGUAAACGGCGGCCGUAACUAUAACGGUCCUAAGGUAGCGAAAUUCCUUGUCGGGUAAGUUCCGACCUGCACGAAUGGCGUAAUGAUGGCCAGGCUGUCUCCACCCGAGACUCAGUGAAAUUGAACUCGCUGUGAAGAUGCAGUGUACCCGCGGCAAGACGGAAAGACCCCGUGAACCUUUACUAUAGCUUGACACUGAACAUUGAGCCUUGAUGUGUAGGAUAGGUGGGAGGCUUUGAAGUGUGGACGCCAGUCUGCAUGGAGCCGACCUUGAAAUACCACCCUUUAAUGUUUGAUGUUCUAACGUGGACCCGUUACCCGGGUUGCGGACAGUGUCUGGUGGGUAGUUUGACUGGGGCGGUCUCCUCCUAAAGAGUAACGGAGGAGCACGAAGGUUGGCUAAUCCUGGUCGGACAUCAGGAGGUUAGUGCAAUGGCAUAAGCCAGCUUGACUGCGAGCGUGACGGCGCGAGCAGGUGCGAAAGCAGGUCAUAGUGAUCCGGUGGUUCUGAAUGGAAGGGCCAUCGCUCAACGGAUAAAAGGUACUCCGGGGAUAACAGGCUGAUACCGCCCAAGAGUUCAUAUCGACGGCGGUGUUUGGCACCUCGAUGUCGGCUCAUCACAUCCUGGGGCUGAAGUAGGUCCCAAGGGUAUGGCUGUUCGCCAUUUAAAGUGGUACGCGAGCUGGGUUUAGAACGUCGUGAGACAGUUCGGUCCCUAUCUGCCGUGGGCGCUGGAGAACUGAGGGGGGCUGCUCCUAGUACGAGAGGACCGGAGUGGACGCAUCACUGGUGUUCGGGUUGUCAUGCCAAUGGCACUGCCCGGUAGCUAAAUGCGGAAGAGAUAAGUGCUGAAAGCAUCUAAGCACGAAACUUGCCCCGAGAUGAGUUCUCCCUGAGACUUUAAGUCUCCUGAAGGAACGUUGAAGACGACGACGUUGAUAGGCCGGGUGUGUAAGCGCAGCGAUGCGUUGAGCUAACCGGUACUAAUGAACCGUGAGGCUUAACCUU
RNAcentral lists this ribosomal RNA (2987 nucleotides) under Salmonella enterica subsp. enterica serovar Senftenberg. RNAcentral describes it as "23S ribosomal RNA". It matches the Rfam family "Bacterial large subunit ribosomal RNA". The record is from RNAcentral. Lineage: Bacteria; Pseudomonadati; Pseudomonadota; Gammaproteobacteria; Enterobacterales; Enterobacteriaceae.